UCACGAGUGGUGUGCAUGGUUCUGCACCGCUUGCGGUGCACAGAAUUUCUCUUAGGCCAAUACAGUCUUCCCUUCAUCAUCUAGUCUAUUUUAUUCAAAACAGCUCAAUGGCCCAAAUAUGUAAGUAAGAUACAGUGCAAGCAUUGCCUCCCACAUCCUAUUGUUCGAUGAUCAAGAGGGCGACAGCAUAUAGCUGGUUCCAUAUCUUAGUAUCAAUCUUUGAUUUGGCCAAACUCUUAGAUGUGAAUCACAUUUUUAUCAACCUGAUUUGAUUAAGCUUUACAACAAUUUUCAUGAUUUGACACUCAGGUUUCCCAUUCAAAUACACUUGCUAGUCAAGAUUUUAGAUUAAACUUGGUUUUCUUACCUUUGUGGAGAUAGAAGUAAUGGAACCUUGGUCUUAUCACUACUUUUCAACCAUUUUUCCAAUACCACUCAAUUAAUACCCCAAUCCGUGGAAAUCUUCCACUAAGGCUAUUAAUUAAUCAGGUAUGCAUCAAAUUGAAGAUAGUUAAGGCUCAGUUAGUGCAAUUUUCAUUACUGUACUGUAAUGGCAUUCUUUGUUGCUAAGAUCCCUGAUCCAGUAAAUAUCUUCAUUCAUUUUUUCCACUAGGAUCAUUUAAUAUCUUCUGCCACGUGCCACAACCCCUUUUGAUGCCUCCUCUAAUUGGAGGAUGGGUUUACAUGACAAACGUGGCCCGAAGCAAUCUGCAAUUCACAUAUCUUUUUUCCAUAUGCAACCAUCUUCUUGAUCCUAUUAUAAAGUAUAGUGCAUCUCCCUUUCUUAUCUUCACUUUUGACGAUGAGCCUUCUUCCCCUAAUCUUCAUCCGAAACCAUAACCAUGAAGUCUGGUUCAUCUUCUUCUCUAUCCAUGGCCGAGAAAUCGAAGAGACAAAGAGACACCUAGAAUCAUCAAGGGCUCUUUGCUCUGUUAAUCCUAAGAUAUUUAUUUCCUAUUCCUCCAGCCUCAUGAUUCUAGGACCAAUCUUUGAAUUGGGCUUCCACCCUCAUUUUGCUCGAUUUUUUCCCUUCACUAUAAAGAGACCUUCCUGUAUUCGGCUAUCUAGCUUCAGGGCCAUAAUGGGAUGGCGUCAACCCGCAUCGAACCUUGCCCACUAGUUCUGGGUUGACCGUAUAACAACCCUUAAGAAGUCGAUCUCAGAUGAAAAUAGAUUUCUCAACAUCAAAAUUCUCUAGGAUUCUAAUGGUAGAGAAUCAUUCCCUUCUAUUGGUAUAUGCUUUUGGUCAUCCUCUGCCAACACUUUUUUAUCUAAACCAUGACACGUGCACCCCUACUCUUUAAUUUGAGCCUUCCUUUUGACCUUCGGCCGAUAGAUGAUGAAUUUUUGACUGUAAUUAAGGUUUUCAUGCCUACCAACAACUUUGACCUUUAUUUGGAUAAACUCACUAUUUAUACCUCCUACAUAGAUUCUCAUGGGAUUCAUGAUGGCCCCAUGACUCAUCAAGAACUAGAAAGUUUAUAUAUUGCCUGGGUUUGUAAAUAUCAACUCUACUAUAAGUUAAAAUGGCGAAAGUUCACCUACACCUUCCCGUGAUGCUUGCCAAAGAUCGACUAAUCGCUCUCACUCCCAUUAUCCUCAAAUCCUUAUUUUGGAGCCUUAAAGAAUUAUAUUCCAAUUCUACUGGCGAUGAAGAACCCUUAGAUGUUUUCCAAAUUUAGAGAUGUGCAGACCAAUGAUGGAUAAGAAGAUCGAGGCAGUUUGAAUUUGAAGAAUGGCCGCCCAUCCUAGAAUGAGGCUCUUUCUCUGAAAGCUUGCAUGGAACCGAUUUCCAACAUGCACGCUUCUCAAAGAUAGAGACAUGGAGCUUUCGAUUUCUUAUCUGAUUUGUGGGCUAAAGGAUGAGUCGACGAAGUACGCCAUUCUGUGUUAUCUGAGGGCAAGACUGAUUUAGAGAAAGAUGGGCAACCAGUCUUGGAAGACAAGUAGUGGCCCUUGACUAGAAUACUUUCUCGAUGCGAUCUAUCAAAGUAUGGCUACAAAGAUGACCCCUAUCUGGAGGGGUAGGAUGGCUUAUGUCACCUACUAGAUAUAGCUUUCCAGGAAUAGCUUGGGCUUCGAAGGUGAGAUAGUGCCUAUACACCAGAUGUUGGAGAAAGUCAUCUGCUCGGUUGCAGAUUAUAGGCAUUUCAACAUUGCCGACCCAUCUUUUGACGCUCCUAAUCUCUGCGACUCUUAUACUGCUCCUACAGCAAUUUGAAGGAUUAUUUUCAUAUCCUAGGAGCCCCUUCCUUCACAAUUUGCCAAGAUGGAUUUCGACGGCAAUAUUAGGGAUCAUAGGGGUAGUGCGGACUUUAUCAUCCAAGAUCUGAAUGCCAAAUUAUUGAUGAUAGGGGGCUCUUAUCUUUUUGAGCCUUCUGUCUCAGGAACUGAGUUUCAUGCCACCUAAGCGAUUAUUAUCUAUGCUAGACAGGAGCUACAGAUAGAAAGAAUUUUUAUAGAGAGAGAUUCUGCCACUAUUAUUGACUAGAUUCGAGACAACACGAAGCGACUGGAGGCUCAUUCGCUUCUCCAUGAUAUCUAGACUACUCUUCAUCUUUCAGUCAUGGUAUCGGUCUAGUAUGUUUAUCAGGAAACGAACAGUAUAGUAAAUUAGAUCACAUUUUAUAUAGCGAAGCACUCUAAAGACUAGAUCUGGAGAUAAAACAAGACGUGCCUACCGACCCUGUGGAAUUCUUUAUAUUCUGACUUAAUGGACUGUUCUCACAUCAGAGUGAUGUAACCGCCCACGCAUACCAAAAAAAAGAACAACAUGUUAAAAUAUAACAAUGUAUAAUGCAUGUUCUCUAAUUAUUCAAAAAGAUAAUGAAUGCUGCAGCUACCUGCUUGAAGUGUCAACAAUUCUCUCCUUGUUUGUGAAGAAUCACAUUACCUUAAACAACAACAAUCCUUCAUUAUCUUUCGCAUCAGUGUAGAGUUUUUGAUUUCUGAUCAGUCUCCAUAUCCUCUUAAGGGACAUUUCGUAUAGGAUGAUCUAUCUAAGAUCAAAGAUGAUGUAGAUGGAGAUGAUAAGAUCACCAUAUUUGAUUACAUCAUGAUGAUCCUAUAUGACAAUAAUUUUAAAUUAUCUUCAAUUCUCAAAUC
This 3105-nucleotide long non-coding RNA is filed under the name Elaeis guineensis (African oil palm). RNAcentral describes it as "long non-coding RNA (EGUI_LNC020292)". The record is from RNAcentral. Lineage: Eukaryota; Viridiplantae; Streptophyta; Magnoliopsida; Arecales; Arecaceae.